Molecule: ribosomal RNA, 326 nt
Filed under: uncultured eukaryote
Lineage: Eukaryota
Description: partial 18S ribosomal RNA
Rfam family: Eukaryotic small subunit ribosomal RNA
Source: RNAcentral
CCCCUAGAUGUUCUGGGCCGCACGCGCGCUACACUGAUGCAUUCAACGAGUCCAACCUUGACCGAGAGGUCCGGGUAAUCUUUGAAACUGCAUCGUGAUGGGGCUAGAUUAUUGCAAUUAUUAAUCUUCAACGAGGAAUGCCUAGUAAGCGUGAUUCAUCAAAUCGCGUUGAUUACGUCCCUGCCCUUUGUACACACCGCCCGUCGCUCCUACCGAUUGAGUGUGUUGGUGAGGAGUUUGGAUUGGCCUCGGAAGGUGGUUCGCCACCGUCCGUAGCUGAGAAGUUCUCCAAACCGCCCCACUUAGAGGAAGGAGAAGUCGUANCA